GCGCCAGCAGUGGAGUAUGUGGUUUAAUUCGAAGCAACGCGAAGAACCUUACCAGGUCUUGACAUCCAACUAACGAAGUAGAGAUACAUUAGGUGCCCUUCGGGGAAAGUUGAGACAGGUGGUGCAUGGUUGUCGUCAGCUCGUGUCGUGAGAUGUUGGGUUAAGUCCCGCAACGAGCGCAACCCUUGCUAUUAGUUGCUACGCAAGAGCACUCUAAUAGGACUGCCGUUGACAAAACGGAGGAAGGUGGGGACGACGUCAAAUCAUCAUGCCCCUUAUGACCUGGGCUACACACGUACUACAAUGGAUGUUAACAGAGGGAAGCAAGACAGCGAUGUGGAGCAAACCCCUAAAAACAUUCUCAGUUCAGAUUGCAGGCUGCAACCCGCCUGCAUGAAGAUGGAAUUGCUAGUAAUCGCGGAUCAGCAUGCCGCGGUGAAUACGUUCCCGGGCCUUGUACACACCGCCCGU
RNAcentral lists this ribosomal RNA (471 nucleotides) under uncultured bacterium. RNAcentral describes it as "bacterial SSU rRNA". It matches the Rfam family "Bacterial small subunit ribosomal RNA", at positions 923 to 1397 of the family's 1533-position model. The record is from RNAcentral.